CGCGUAGGCGGCCUUCUAAGUCAGACGUGAAAUCCCCUGGCUUAACCUGGGAACUGCGUCUGAUACUGGGAGGCUUGAGUAUGGGAGAGGGAUGUAGAAUUCCAGGUGUAGCGGUGAAAUGCGUAGAUAUCUGGAGGAAUACCGGUGGCGAAGGCGGCAUCCUGGACCAUUACUGACGCUGAGGCGCGAAAGCUAGGGAGCAAACG
This 206-nucleotide ribosomal RNA is filed under the name uncultured bacterium. RNAcentral's name for it is "partial 16S ribosomal RNA". It matches the Rfam family "Bacterial small subunit ribosomal RNA", at positions 568 to 774 of the family's 1533-position model. The record is from RNAcentral.